GCCGACGUAGCCGACGCGGCGCAGCCGCUCGCGCAGGCGAGCGAUCUCUGUCUCGCGCUGGGCCGGUUCGGCCUCGGACGCCGGCA
RNAcentral lists this transfer RNA (86 nucleotides) under compost metagenome. RNAcentral describes it as "tRNA-Ala". The record is from RNAcentral.